RNAcentral lists this long non-coding RNA (814 nucleotides) under Homo sapiens (human). RNAcentral describes it as "HSALNT0363710". Lineage: Eukaryota; Metazoa; Chordata; Mammalia; Primates; Hominidae. The record is from RNAcentral.
UGAGGAGAGGCAGGAGAAAAUACGGCGCGCUCGGCAUCGUCCUUCUGACCGGGGACUCCAGCAUCUCAGUCAUCGCGUCACCAAGCCCCACGGACUAUGGAAAGACUACAUUUCUCAACCUUCCUAGUAGAUGUGAUGUCACCAGUCGGAAUUGGGCAGAAGAAUGUAUCACUUCAGUCCAAGGCAAUUAAGUCAACAGCAAUUUAUUUACGGAUUACCUACUCAGUUGGUGCCAAGCCUGGUUCUAGAUGCUGAAGACAGAGCCUAGAUCAAGAUUGACUUGGUCCUGGCUUUCCUGAAGUUCCCAGCCUGGUAGAAGAGACAUAAUAAACAACUAGCAAACACAGAAAUGUGAUUCUUUCUGGGAGUAUUAGGUGCUCUGAAAGGAAGAACAAGGGUGAUGUGAUAGACGCUGAUUGGGAUGGGAGCUUUUUCAGAUUGGAUGACAGGAAAGGUCUUCUGAAAUCUGCCUGGUAUGUAGGAGCUAGCCUCUAAAAGUUGUGGAGGAAGAGCACUAGGAGAGGGGUGCAGCCAGGGCAAAGCCUCCAAGGUGGGGCUAAGCUUGGCAGUGGGAUUUCAGUGCAGUGAAUAAGGCUAAAGAGUAGGAAGAGGUAAGAUCAGUGAUGUGGGCAGGGGCCAGAUCAAGCAGGGCCUUGAAGGCCAUGGUAAAGGGUUUGGUAUUUGCUUUGACUAUGCUGGAGAGCCUUUCAAGGGUUUUAAGCAAGAGGAACUUGAGAUGACUUAAGAUUUUUGUUUUUGUUUUUGAGACAGUCUUGUUCUGUUGCUCAGGCUGGAGUGCAGUGGCGCAAUCUUG